CCUACGGGAGGCUGCAGUGGGGAAUAUUGGGCAAUGGACGCAAGUCUGACCCAGCAACGCCGCGUGAAGGAAGAAGGCUUUCGGGUUGUAAACUUCUUUUGCCGGGGAGCAACGGGCGCCACGUGUGGCGCCACUGAGAGUACCCGGAGAAAAAGCAUCGGCUAACUCCGUGCCAGCAGCCGCGGUAAUACGGAGGAUGCGAGCGUUAUCCGGAUUUAUUGGGUUUAAAGGGUGCGUAGGCGGAGCGUUAAGUCAGUGGUCAAAUUGAGGGGCUCAACCCCUUCCCGCCAUUGAAACUGGCGCUCUUGAGUGGAAGAGAAGUAUGCGGAAUGCGUGGUGUAGCGGUGAAAGGCAGAGAUAUCACGCAGAACCCCGAUUGCGAAGGCAGCAUGCCGGCUUCCGACUGACGCUGAAGCACGAAAGCGUGGGGAUCGAACAGGAUUAGAUACCCUGGUAGUC
RNAcentral lists this ribosomal RNA (459 nucleotides) under uncultured bacterium. Its description in RNAcentral is "partial 16S ribosomal RNA". It matches the Rfam family "Bacterial small subunit ribosomal RNA", at positions 338 to 795 of the family's 1533-position model. The record is from RNAcentral.